CUUGGAUGAGCAAAGCUUAUAUGGCAUGCCUUCAUUAGUCUAGAACAGUGAAUAUUGUUGCUCCUAUACAUGCAGCCCAUAGAUUACCCUGAUUUGGCCAAUGAACUGCUGCCACAUAAAACUUUGAGGCUAUUUCUUGUCUAAGCAAAACGACUUUGCUACUUGCAAAGGUAGCAAUGGGAAAAGUAGCACUUGCUAAACUAAACUUGACGGGAGAAAGUAAAGAAGCAUAAUUGCAUCAAAUUUACAGAUAAAAGG
RNAcentral lists this long non-coding RNA (258 nucleotides) under Elaeis guineensis (African oil palm). Its description in RNAcentral is "long non-coding RNA (EGUI_LNC011383)". The record is from RNAcentral. Lineage: Eukaryota; Viridiplantae; Streptophyta; Magnoliopsida; Arecales; Arecaceae.